This 73-nucleotide transfer RNA is filed under the name Candidatus Iainarchaeum sp. RNAcentral's name for it is "tRNA-Trp". It matches the Rfam family "tRNA". Rfam says of the family: Transfer RNA (tRNA) molecules are approximately 80 nucleotides in length. Their secondary structure includes four short double-helical elements and three loops (D, anti-codon, and T loops). Lineage: Archaea; Nanobdellati; Candidatus Iainarchaeota; Candidatus Iainarchaeia; Candidatus Iainarchaeales; Candidatus Iainarchaeaceae. The record is from RNAcentral.
GGGGUCAUAGCAUAACCCGGCAGUGCGACCGGCUCCAGACCGGUUGAUGGGGGUUCAAAUCCCUCUGACCCCA